This 433-nucleotide ribosomal RNA is filed under the name uncultured Bradyrhizobium sp. RNAcentral's name for it is "bacterial SSU rRNA". It matches the Rfam family "Bacterial small subunit ribosomal RNA", at positions 1 to 484 of the family's 1533-position model. Lineage: Bacteria; Pseudomonadati; Pseudomonadota; Alphaproteobacteria; Hyphomicrobiales; Nitrobacteraceae. The record is from RNAcentral.
UAUGUUUGAWUCCUGGCUCAGRGCGAACGCUGGCGGCAGGCUUAACACAUGCAAGUCGAGCGGGCAUAGCAAUAUGUCAGCGGCAGACGGGUGAGUAACGCGUGGGAACGUACCUUUUGGUUCGGAACAACUGAGGGAAACUUCAGCUAAUACCGGAUAAGCCCUUACGGGGAAAGAUUUAUCGCCGAAAGAUCGGCCCGCGUCUGAUUAGCUAGUUGGUGAGGUAAUGGCUCACCAAGGCGACGAUCAGUAGCUGGUCUGAGAGGAUGAUCAGCCACAUUGGGACUGAGACACGGCCCAAACUCCUACGGGAGGCAGCAGUGGGGAAUAUUGGACAAUGGGCGCAAGCCUGAUCCAGCCAUGCCGCGUGRGUGAUGAAGGCCCUAGGGUUGUAAAGCUCUUUUGUGCGGGAAGAUAAUGACGGUACCGCAAU